Megalobrama amblycephala (Wuchang bream) is the source of this 1809-nucleotide RNA transcript. It is a transcript of the gene named amelogenin-like, with no coding region annotated. The record is from RefSeq and is a predicted model, not a curated record. NCBI's taxonomy places the organism in Eukaryota, Metazoa, Chordata, Actinopteri, Cypriniformes, Xenocyprididae. The transcript is spliced from 3 exons.
CAAUGAAGGGGUCACGCUCUAAAAUAUCAAGAGUGCAAAACAGAUACAUCCACCCCACACUAGUGUGACUAUAAACAGAGCAAGUUUUUACAAAUGGGAAAUAAUCAAGAAAAUCAAGAAUUCAGCCGCUCUGCAGGAAUAUGCACUAUGCAACAGCAAGAAGUUUACACACGCACUCAAAUGAAUUGGUGUGGCUGUAACAAUUAUGGUAACAUUGAGCUUUUAAAGACUUUAAAAAGAGGUUGAAAUCAGAUCUGAUUCUGGCCCAGAUUAAUUGAUGUGUAACCCGGGUAACCUAAGAAAAGGAAAACAAAUUCUAGAAGAAAAAGAGAUUCAUCCAAUCACUGAUUCGUGCUGCAAUGAGAGACACCCCUAAGAGCCAAUAGUAGCGGCUCAUUCAUAAGUCCCGCCCACUUGUCGCGCCGGCGCUGCUUUCAGCGUGAGCAGAUGAGAGCGAGUCAGAGCAGAUCAGCACAGACGGACCAGACAGUUUCCCCAGAAAAUCCAUUGAUCUAACUGGAAAUGUGAAUGAGUGCACUGAAAGUGGAGCUUUUGAAGUCGACGCGUCAGCCUAAAGCGAUGUCGUCGGAGACAGAGAAGAGAGAGAGACGGAGCAGAUCCCAGAGUGUUGAAGCACUGUGAGUAAUCUUCCUUGUGUGAAUAAAGAUAUGAUUCUCUUCUGCUUUAGGGAGUGAAAUUCCAGAUAUUAAUAAGAAUAUAAUGUAAAUGACAUGUUGAAGUUUCUAAAAUGAUUAAUUUCUGAGCCGUUUUGAGUAGGCCGCGUGCACAAAGCGCGAGCUGAACUGAUUAGCACAUGGGCUAAAGCUAACACGAGUAAACGUGAUAAUUGUGUCAUGAAAUGAGAUAAAGAGUUAUAUAUUAGUGUCGGUGUGUUUAAUAACUGCUUAUUAAUGUUUAAUUUGAUUGUGUCAAUUUGAGAUAUUCAUAUGAUUUAUGGAAAUGUCUGAAUCAAAAGUUAAUUGUUGUGUUUUGCAAGGCCUUACUUUCUUUCCAUGGGUGUGAACGUGAUAAUUAUAGUUUAUUCUGGUCAAUAAACCGAUAUAAAACUUUCACUUAACACAUCUCCUUUGAGAUCUGCCUCCCUCCCCUUCAGGUACAGUCAUUUAUGUUCAUCUGUUUACAUUUAUUGAGGUAAGAAGACAAAUAUCUAAGAAAAUGAAUGCGUAUCAUUUCCAUCACUUGUUUCUUGUUUCUUGACAGACCGAAAGGAAAAGGACAGUGAUUCCCAAACCACAGAGAAAUGAAUGGCUGUUGAUGAGUAUCAAGCACAACCUCAACAGAGACUCAGAAGAGGCUGAAAAAAAUGGAGGAAAACGAAAAAUUGAGAAAUGACAACAAAAAAAAGCUACCAAAUCUGUCAAAUGAAGUGAAGAUGGCCCUGAAGUCUCUGUUUGUCAGCAUCAGUCACAUAACUUAGAAGAUGGGACAGGAUUUGCCACAGAGUAAUUACAGAGCCCUUCCAACAGAACAGGAGCAACGUUGCAGAAAGUGUCCUCAUGUGGUGCCUGCCAGCAUUGGUACAGCAAUUAAUGCCAAACUUACUGAAAUUAGAGGGAAGAAUACACAAAAACAUCUGAAAACCUUAAUGGUCUUUGAUGAUUGAUAGCCGUGACAGUGUGUUCAAGGUAUUUUGUUGUUGUUGUUGGAGUGUGUGUGUGUGUGUGUGUGUGUGUGUUUUGCCUUCGCAAAGUUCAGUUUGAUAUCAAAUUGUAAUUUUAAAUUACUCUUGUGGAGUAUAAUUUGAUUGUCUUGUUGAUUGUGUUGAAAUAAAAGUAUUUCUAAUGUAAA